This 253-nucleotide ribosomal RNA is filed under the name uncultured bacterium. RNAcentral's name for it is "partial 16S ribosomal RNA". It matches the Rfam family "Bacterial small subunit ribosomal RNA", at positions 524 to 776 of the family's 1533-position model. The record is from RNAcentral.
UACGUAGGUGGCAAGCGUUGUCCGGAUUUAUUGGGUUUAAAGGGUGCGUAGGCGGCUUUGUAAGUCAGUGGUGAAAUAUGGCAGCUCAACUGUCAGGGUGCCAUUGAUACUGCGGAGCUUGAGUACAGAUGAGGUAGGCGGAAUUGACGGUGUAGCGGUGAAAUGCUUAGAUAUCGUCAAGAACACCGAUAGCGAAGGCAGCUUGCUAGGCUGUAACUGACGCUGAGGCACGAAAGUGUGGGGAUCAAACAGG